CAGCAGCCGCGGUAAUACGUAGGGGGCUAGCGUUGUUCGGAUUUAUUGGGCGUAAAGGGUGCGUAGGCGGUUUGGCAAGUCUUGUGUGAAAUCUUCGGGCUCAACCCGAAGCCUGCACGAGAAACUACCGGGCUUGAGUAUUGGAGAGGUGAGUGGAAUUUCCGGUGUAGCGGUGAAAUGCGUAGAUAUCGGAAGGAACACCUGUGGCGAAAGCGGCUCACUGGACAAUAACUGACGCUGAUGCACGAAAGCUAGGGGAGCAAACAGGAUUAGAUACCCCCGUAGUCCCUGUCUCUUAUAC
Molecule: ribosomal RNA, 301 nt
Filed under: uncultured bacterium
Lineage: Bacteria
Description: partial 16S ribosomal RNA
Rfam family: Bacterial small subunit ribosomal RNA
Source: RNAcentral